AUGAUGCUUGCACUGGUCUGUAAUUGUGCUUACAGCUGCUUCUACCCCUUGCCUUUCAGAUGUGGUGGUGGAGUGAAGAGCAAGGACAUCUGCUGCUCAGAGUACUCCUCGCUGGACUCCCUCCGCACCUGGCAACCUCAGAUGGUCUGGUCUCAAGCAGCGUCCCAUCAAAGAGCACCACCUGCAUCUCACAGUGGCAUGGCAACAGGUUUCGUUGUAAAGUGCAUCUCUGGCAUCUCUGCUUUCUGCUAGCAGCCCAGAGCCAGUUCUGAAGGACAGGCCAAUUUGGAAGAACACCUUCUCUCAGUAGCACGUGAGUCGCAGCGCUGUUGUGGGUGCAGCAAUCCUGCAGGCAGUUUGCAGGCCACUGGCUGUGCAGCUUUGAGCACGCUCGCAGCAGAUAGGACUGAGGAGAAGAUGGU
RNAcentral lists this long non-coding RNA (422 nucleotides) under Anser brachyrhynchus (Pink-footed goose). RNAcentral's name for it is "lncRNA (ENSABRG00000022900.1)". The record is from RNAcentral. Lineage: Eukaryota; Metazoa; Chordata; Aves; Anseriformes; Anatidae.